UACGGAGGAUCCGAGCGUUAUCCGGAAUUAUUGGGUUUAAAGGGUGCGUAGGCGGCCAUUUAAGUCAGCGGUGAAAUUUUGCAGCUUAACUGUAACAGUGCCGUUGAUACUGUUUGGCUAGGAUUUGGUUGUAGUGUGCGGAAUGUGUGGUGUAGCGGUGAAAUGCUUAGAUAUCACACAGAACACCGAUUGCGAAGGCAGCACACUAAGUCAUUAUUGACGCUGAGGCACGAAAGCGUGGGGAGCAAACAGGAUUAGA
Molecule: ribosomal RNA, 259 nt
Filed under: uncultured prokaryote
Description: partial 16S ribosomal RNA
Rfam family: Bacterial small subunit ribosomal RNA
Source: RNAcentral